UACAGAGGUCCCGAGCGUUGUUCGGAUUCACUGGGCGUAAAGGGUGCGCAGGCGGCGGUUCGCGUGGCGAGAUGAAAUCUCCUGGCUUACCUGGGAGGAUGGUCGCCAGACGGGAUCGCUUGAGGGUCGGAGAGGGGCGUGGAAUUCCUGGUGUAGCGGUGAAAUGCGCAGAUAUCAGGAGGAACACCGGUGGCGAAGGCGGGUCUCUGGGCCGAUACUGACGCUGAGGAGCGAAAGCGUGGGGAGCGAACAGG
Molecule: ribosomal RNA, 254 nt
Filed under: uncultured bacterium
Lineage: Bacteria
Description: partial 16S ribosomal RNA
Rfam family: Bacterial small subunit ribosomal RNA
Source: RNAcentral